RNAcentral lists this ribosomal RNA (497 nucleotides) under uncultured bacterium. RNAcentral describes it as "partial 16S ribosomal RNA". It matches the Rfam family "Bacterial small subunit ribosomal RNA", at positions 28 to 507 of the family's 1533-position model. The record is from RNAcentral.
GAUGAACGCUGGCGGCGUGCCUAAUACAUGCAAGUCGAGCGAACGGACGCGGAGCUUGCUUCUCUGAUGUUAGCGGCGGACGGGUGAGUCACACGUGGAUAACCUCCCUAUCAGACUGGGAUCACUUCGGGAAACCGGCGCUAAUACCAGAUGAUCUUUUGCACCGCAUGGUUCAAUAGUGAAAGACGGUCUUGCUGUCACUUAUCGCUGGAUCCGCGCUGCAUUAGCUGGUUGGUAAGGUAACGGCUUACCAAGGCAACGAUGCGUGAACGACCUGAGAGAGGGAUAGGCCACACGGGAACUGAGACACGGUCCAGACUCCUACGGGAGGCAGCAGUAGGGAAUCUUCCGCAAUGGGCGAAAGCCUGACGGAGCAACGCCGCGUGAGUGAUGAAGGUCUUCGGAUCGUAAAACUCUGUUAUUAGGGAAGAACAUAUGUGUAAGUAACUGUGCACAGCGUGACGGUACCUAAUCAGAAAGCCACGGCUAACUACGUG